ACCAAAGCAAAGCUGGUCCCAGUGAAGGCGCCCCCAGCCGUAAGGGAGGCACAGGCGGUUUUAGGAGAGGGAAAGGUUUUCCUUGACGACUUCUAAGUUUGCAUUCUUCUUAAAAAGGGAGGUGCUGGAUGACCCACAGCCUUGGGUCCCCAAGCUCUGAAGCAGCAGGUCUAGGAGGGGAGGCAGACAGUAAUCAAAUAACCGUGCACAUCCAUGUGUGAUGAUGAACUAUGCCAAGUGCCAUGCAAGGAAGCUGGGGGCUUUGACAGCAGAUGAGAACAUUGAAGCCGAGAGAGGUUAAGUGACUUUCCCAAGGUCUUGCUGCCAACCAGUGCAAGAGCACACUCAAACUUGCCAUUCCUGACUCCAAAGUGCCUACUUUUAACCUCUUCCAUUCCUUCCUCUCCUCUCUCCCUUCGGUUCUUCUCUUCCUCCUUCUCUCCCUCUCUCUCCCUUCCUGGCUUCUAUAGACAUGUACAAGCUCACAGUGAACUGGAGGCUGGUUAUUCACACUCUGCCAUUGCUCUGUGCUUUACACGCGUGUCGUUUCAUAACAAGGAUGUGAUUCACGCUCAACUUUGGAGGACACCUCUAUCCGUAUAACGUUGCCAAGUUCCUCAGCAAAUGUUAAGGUGUUGAGGGAGAAUCACUGACAUUUCGGAGUUGGGAGUGCACCCUCUUCUUUUCACACAGACGGAAUGAGGCCCGGAGAGGAGAGAAGGUUUGUCUGGUAUGAGGUGGAUCGCCAGCCAAGGAGCGAAGACCAGAAACCGGAACCCCCCCCACCCCCCGCCCCGUGAUCCUUACCCCAUUGCAGCCACCACCCAGGGCACACAGCCCACUCUGAGAAAUCAGGGAAUCCCUUAGAAGACCAGGACACCCCAGGAAUGCAAUAGAAAGGAUUCCUCAGAUAGACACAGAACCCGUACCCCGGCAGCACAAAGGCACCACCAGCCAUUCUAAGAGCCCUGACCCCCACCCCCACCCCCACCCCACCCCGGGCCUUAGGCUGCCAGAGGAAGAGUCUCUCUUCAGAUGAAUAUGCUGCUUUGCAAGUGCUGUGGAGAAUGACAUUUCUACUUAAAGGGGCCGUAUUUCUACCCUGUUGAGUAGAGGACAGGAAAAGGGGAACCUGAGGGAGGUAAACAUGGCUGAGCCAUAAGGGGCUCCCUUUUCCUCCCUCCUUCCCCGCCUCAGGGCCCAUGCUGGUGGCGGCUGUGGCUGUUGAGUGUUGGCUGAGAUUUCCAAUACCUUUUGGGGUUACCAGAUACGAGAGUCUGAGGCUCCGGAGUCAGGCAGACUUGACUUCCAAACCAGGUCCUGACACCGAAGAGUCUCCGUUUCCCCAUCCCUAAAAUGGGAAUAACAGCCUUACCAUGAAUUUUUCGAGGGUGUUUGGAGAACAAGCCUGAGUUGUCAUAAACACAAAGCAAGCGGUACCAUGUCUGGCAAAGUGGGAAAAUGGAAUGGAAUAAGUAAAAGGCCUGCUCCUGGCACGUCCGCAGAGUUACUGGUUGUAAGUUCCUCGUUCUUCUCAUUUCCCAGGGUUGGGCCUUGGAGGUGGGUGAUUAGGAAAAGAAACUGGGGGUCACUCCUACCUUCACUUUUGAGUCGAGUUCUGAGUUUCUUGUAAAUAGCUAAAGUCAUUUUUCUAAGACAAAUUAAUACAAUUCAAAAAUACCCAGAGUGUGGAAUGGGUUUUUAAAAAAUGGAGGUGGAAUUCACAUUGCAUUAAAGUAACCAUUUUAAAGUGCACAACUAGGGGCGCCUGCGUGGCUCGGUCAGUUAAGUGUCCAACUCUUGAUUUUGGCUCAGGUCACGAUCUCACAGUUCAUAAGAUCGAGCCCUGCACUGGGCUCUGUACUGACAGUGUAGAGCCUGCUUGGGAUUCUCUCUCUGUCUCUCUGUCUGUCUGUCUGCCCCUCCCCAACUUGCUCAUUUUCUCUCUCUCAAAAUAAAUAAACAUUUAAAACAAUAAAGUGUACAACUAAGUGGUAUUUAGUGCAUUCGCACUGUUGGGCAGCCAUCAUCUACAUUAAGUUCCAAAAUGUUCUCAUCACUCCAAAAGAAACAUCUAAAAGUACAUCCCUGUACUUGUCAAAUAGUCACUCCUAUUCCUCCCUUCUGCUCAAGAUUCUGGCAAUCACCAACUGCUCUUUGUCCCUGUGGAUUUAACUGUUCUGGAUACUCCAAACAAAUGGAAGCAGACAGUA
Molecule: long non-coding RNA, 2213 nt
Organism: Neofelis nebulosa (Clouded leopard)
Lineage: Eukaryota; Metazoa; Chordata; Mammalia; Carnivora; Felidae
Exons: 3
Source: RefSeq, a predicted model, not a curated record